GCAGGUGUUUAGUUCUGACGUUGCCGUGGAAAGUUUGGUGAACCUUAUCACUUAGAGGAAGGAGAAGUCGUAACAAGGUUUCCGUAGGUGAACCUGCGGAAGGAUCAU
Molecule: ribosomal RNA, 108 nt
Filed under: Ornithocercus magnificus
Lineage: Eukaryota; Dinophyceae; Dinophysales; Dinophysaceae
Description: partial small subunit ribosomal RNA
Rfam family: Eukaryotic small subunit ribosomal RNA
Source: RNAcentral